Molecule: long non-coding RNA, 315 nt
Organism: Coregonus clupeaformis (lake whitefish)
Lineage: Eukaryota; Metazoa; Chordata; Actinopteri; Salmoniformes; Salmonidae
Exons: 3
Source: RefSeq, a predicted model, not a curated record
AGUAGUCACCUGAUGGCUCAGCUGAAGAGAGGGCCUCACAUCGUUUGAUUGGACCCAUUGUGUUCGUCUGUGUCUGUGUGAGUAGGAAGGAUUAUAAUCUCUGCCAGCCAGAAUAUACUGAUGAAGAGCUUCGACAGAUAGAAGCCGAGACAGCACGGGGAGAAAUGGCAACAGGUGAUCCGGCAGACCAGCGGCAGGGCCCAGAGAGAGAGUCACGGAACUGGUGGUGUAAAUGUGAAAAAUCAGAGAAAAAUUCAAGAUCAACUGAAAAAAGAGACCACGUCUAGCGGGAUCAAAUGGGCAGCUGUCCAUAGA